UACAGAGGGUGCGAGCGUUAAUCGGACUUACUGGGCGUAAAGCGCGCGUAGGCGGCUUUGCAAGUCGGGUGUGAAAUCCCCAGGCUUAACCUGGGAACUGCAUUCGAGACUGCAUUGCUAGAGUAUGGGAGAGGGAAGUGGAAUUUCAGGUGUAGCGGUGAAAUGCGUAGAUAUCUGAAGGAACAUCAGUGGCGAAAGCGACUUCCUGGACCAAUACUGACGCUCAUGUGCGAAAGCGUGGGGAGCAAACAGG
Molecule: ribosomal RNA, 253 nt
Filed under: uncultured bacterium
Lineage: Bacteria
Description: partial 16S ribosomal RNA
Rfam family: Bacterial small subunit ribosomal RNA
Source: RNAcentral